The sequence is an unclassified non-coding RNA, 288 nucleotides long. The stretch from base 1 to 46 matches the Rfam family "Eukaryotic small subunit ribosomal RNA", at positions 1786 to 1831 of the family's 1831-position model.
AAGUCGUAACAAGGUCUCCGUUGGUGAACCAGCGGAGGGAUCAUUAUAGAGUUCUAAACUCCAAACCCAUGUGUACCUACUCUUGUUGCUUCGGCGGCUGAGCUCUAUCCCAGUUGGCAAUGUCAUACACUACCCUGUAGCGGCUACCUAGGUAGAGAUACCUAGUAGCAGUUACCCGGUAGUGGGGGGUAACUCACCGCCGGCGGCCCAUAAACUCUGUUUUAUUUUGAAAUUCUGAAUCAUAAACUUAAUAAGUUAAAACUUUCAACAACGGAUCUCUUGGUUCUG